CAAUAGCGUAUAUUAAAGUUGUUGCAGUUAAAAAGCUCGUAGUUGAAGAUACGAACGCUUACACUAGAACAAAGUUUCCGGUGUCUGCGUUCACUUUUCGCAAAGACAGCCUGGCCCAUUAGUUUGGGUCUUGUUUGAGUUGCGUCAUUUACUGUGAACAAAUUAGGGUGUUUAAAGCAGGCCUACGUUUGAAUACACUAGCAUGGAAUAAUAAGAUAUGAUCUUGGUCGUAUUUUGUUGGUGACUACCAAGAUAAUGAUUGAUAGAAACUGUUGUGGGUAUCCGUAUGAGCAUGUCAGAGGUGAAAUUCUUGGAUUUUGAUCAGACGAACUACUGCGAAAGUAUUUACCAAGGAUGUUUUCAUUAA
Molecule: ribosomal RNA, 367 nt
Filed under: uncultured eukaryote
Lineage: Eukaryota
Description: partial 18S ribosomal RNA
Rfam family: Eukaryotic small subunit ribosomal RNA
Source: RNAcentral